UCAUGGCUCAGGACGAACGCUGGCGGCGUGCCUAAUACAUGCAGUCGAGCGGACAGAAGGGAGCUUGCUCCCGGAUGUUAGCGGCGGACGGGUGAGUAACACGUGGGUAACCUGCCUGUAAGACUGGGAUAACUCCGGGAAACCGGAGCUAAUACCGGAUAGUUCCUUGAACCGCAUGGUUCAAGGAUGAAAGACGGUUUCGGCUGUCACUUACAGAUGGACCCGCGGCGCAUUAGCUAGUUGGUGAGGUAACGGCUCACCAAGGCGACGAUGCGUAGCCGACCUGAGAGGGUGAUCGGCCACACUGGGACUGAGACACGGCCCAGACUCCUACGGGAGGCAGCAGUAGGGAAUCUUCCGCAAUGGACGAAAGUCUGACGGAGCAACGCCGCGUGAGUGAUGAAGGUUUUCGGAUCGUAAAGCUCUGUUGUUAGGGAAGAACAAGUGCAAGAGUAACUGCUUGCACCUUGACGGUACCUAACCAGAAAGCCACGGCUAACUACGUGCCAGCAGACGCGGUAAUA
RNAcentral lists this ribosomal RNA (524 nucleotides) under Bacillus sp. RMRC-SW-1-1. RNAcentral describes it as "bacterial SSU rRNA". It matches the Rfam family "Bacterial small subunit ribosomal RNA", at positions 17 to 525 of the family's 1533-position model. The record is from RNAcentral. Lineage: Bacteria; Bacillati; Bacillota; Bacilli; Caryophanales; Bacillaceae.